Molecule: ribosomal RNA, 460 nt
Filed under: uncultured bacterium
Lineage: Bacteria
Description: partial 16S ribosomal RNA
Rfam family: Bacterial small subunit ribosomal RNA
Source: RNAcentral
CCUACGGGAGGCAGCAGUGAGGAAUAUUGGUCAAUGGACGAGAGUCUGAACCAGCCACGUAGCGUGAAGGAUGACUGCCCUCUGGGUUGUAAACUUCUUUUAUAUGGGAAUAAAAUGUUCCACGUGUGGGAUUUUGUAUGUACCAUAUCAAUAAGGAUCGGCUAACUCCGUGCCAGCAGCCGCGGUAAUACGGAGGAUCCGAGCGUUAUCCGGAUUUAGUGGGUUUAAAGGGAGCGUAGGUGGAUUGUUAAGUCAGUUGUGAAAGUUUGGGGCUCAACCGUAAAAUUGCAGUUGAAACUGGCAGUCUUGAGUACAGUAGAGGUGGGCGGAAUUCGUGGUGUAGCGGUGAAAUGCGUAGAUAUCACGAAGAACUCCGAUGGCGAAGGCAGCUCACUGGACUGUAACUGACACUGAGGCUCGAAAGUGUGGGGAGCAAACAGGAUUAGAUACCCCGGUAGUC